RNAcentral lists this transfer RNA (65 nucleotides) under Anaplecta sp. 3 ZQW-2020. RNAcentral describes it as "tRNA-Leu". Lineage: Eukaryota; Metazoa; Arthropoda; Insecta; Blattodea; Anaplectidae. The record is from RNAcentral.
UUUAAUAUGGCAGAUAAGUGCAAUGGAUUUAAGCUUCAUGAAUGAAGGGUUACCUUCUAUUAAAA